Long non-coding RNA from Bufo gargarizans (Asiatic toad), 1668 nucleotides. RefSeq lists it as uncharacterized. Lineage: Eukaryota; Metazoa; Chordata; Amphibia; Anura; Bufonidae. The transcript is spliced from 3 exons. The record is from RefSeq and is a predicted model, not a curated record.
ACUCUCAGCCACAGGAGCGAGGCCUGCACAGGCAAGCUGUGGGCGUGAUUACCGCGCUCCCUGUGCCAUCAAUCAAAUGAAGUGUGACGGCCCGUAAAAUGAACUGAAAGUGCACAGCUAAAGAUCCAGGCUUUGCUCAAUUUGUAAGAUUGGCAUACAGCGCUAUAGCAGGACUGAGUGUUGGUGCGCUUGUGUUCCAAAGCGGCGGUGAGUGGAGCCGCUGAGUCUGUUCUGAGCCAGCUGUAAGUAACGCGAUCCGAACAAGAAACACAUAGCGAGGACACACACAAGUGGUGGAGAAUCCCGCAGAGAGGAUUACAGUUGGGCAAAAAAUACCAAAGCUGAUGAGCUGUCCCGAAGUUUUCCUGGAGGGGGUGAUGUUGACGAUCUGGUGUCGAUUUUCCAGAAAGGGGUGAUUGUCUCUGUGUUACAAUCAGAUCUGGAGGGGAUGGUGUUGGAGGCUCAGGGGGAUGCUUCGGUCACCUGCCCCCAGGGGAUGCCUUUGAAUUUGAGCCUUAAAAUAUUAAAAGAACACCAUAACUCUGUACUCGCUGGGCACCCAGGUAUUAGGGAAACCUCAGAUCUAUUGUCUCGUAAUGUUUGGUGGCUGAGGUCGCACCAGGGUGUAGUUGAUUUUGUGCCCACAUGUACAACCUGCGCACUUGCUAAAGUCACUCAUACUUGUCCGGCGGGGUUACCACUGGUCAUUCCCAACAGGCAGUGGACAAACCUGUCGAUGGAUUUUAUUACUGACCUACCUGUAUCUGUGGGUAAAACUGUUAUCCUGGUAGUAGUAGACAGGUUCAGUAAAAUGGUGCAUUUCAUUGUCUUACCCGUGUUGCAAAUGCUAGAACCCUGGCUCAGGUUUUUAACAGUGAAAUAGUGAAGCUUCAUGGGGUCCCUUACGAUGUUGUUUUGGAUCGUGGAACCCAGUUUAUUUCUAAAUUCUAGAGAGCUUUUUGUUCUCGUUUUGGGGUACAUUUGUCCUUUUCCUCAGCCUUCCAUCCGCAGUCGAACGACCCGACAGAACACACCAACCAAAACCUAGAGACUUACCUUAGGUGUUUUGUGUCUGAAAAUCAGGAGGAAUGGUCAUCUUACCUCUAGGAGAGUUUGCUAUAAACAAUCGCCAUCAAGAGUCAACUGGUAAGUCACCAUUUUUUGCUGCAUAUGGUUUUCAUACUCAAUUUUGCACUUUCAGUGAGGGGGAGCCUUCUGGGAUCCCUGAGGAAGAACGGUUUAUGUCAUCACUCUCUUCUGUAUGGCGAAAGGUUCAAAGCAACUUAAAAAAAUAUGGGAGACAGAUGUAUGGCUGAUAAAAAACGUUCCCCAGGUCCGGACCUAGGGGUAAAUGACUAUGUGUGGUUGUCCACUAGGAAUUUUAAGUUAAAGGUUCCCUCUUGGAAAUUGGGUCCUAGGUUUAUCGCUCCUGAUAAAAUAGUUGCCGUCAUUAACCUCGUGGCAUUUCGCCUAGAGCUAUCUCAAACUUUUAAAAUUCAUAAUGCUUUUCAUAAAUCGUUGCUCAAAAAGUAUGUUGCACCUCCAGAACUAUCACCUUUACCUCCCUGAAAGGGAUUUUUCAUAAAUCUUACUUUUGAUACAUCACAGAUUAGACAUAUAUUAUACAAGCCUCAUCUCUUGUGGAAUGCAGUACCUUGCAUUAACAUA